CACAGUCUGUCUAGAAUGCUUUUGG
RNAcentral lists this non-coding RNA (25 nucleotides) under Mus musculus (house mouse). The record is from RNAcentral. Lineage: Eukaryota; Metazoa; Chordata; Mammalia; Rodentia; Muridae.